CAGCUAUACCAUGCUGAAUAUACCGGUUCUCGUUAGAUCACUGAAGUCAAGCAUCAUCGCGGUCAGUACUUGGGUGGGUGACCACCUGGGAACACCGCGUGCGGU
Caerostris extrusa is the source of this 105-nucleotide non-coding RNA. The record is from the annotation of a GenBank genome assembly. Lineage: Eukaryota; Metazoa; Arthropoda; Arachnida; Araneae; Araneidae.